Molecule: transfer RNA, 77 nt
Filed under: Pseudomonas phage UAVern
Lineage: Duplodnaviria; Heunggongvirae; Uroviricota; Caudoviricetes; Vandenendeviridae
Description: tRNA-Glu
Rfam family: tRNA
About the family: Transfer RNA (tRNA) molecules are approximately 80 nucleotides in length.
Source: RNAcentral
GCUGUUGUCGUCUAGCGGUCUAGGAUUCCGGGCUUUCAACUCGGCAGACGUGGGUUCGAAUCCCAUCAACAGCUCCA